AACAGUAAGAUAUUUCUACUAGCAGGCUGAAGUAGGUUUGGUAACGAUCAAGGAAGCUGAGCUUUUGGUUGCACCUCAUAAUAUUCCCAUCUGGUCUAAAUGAAUAUUUCUUUCCUUGGCUGGGGCACACUAGUUACCCUUCAUUGUCUUGGCACCAAACUUUUCUAAUUCAGUGUCUGUUCUUCACAUAGUACUGGGCCUUUAUGUGGCAUGUAUGUGUAGUGGUGAAUUGAAGGCUCAUACUCUCCAUGUUCUUACACACCUAACCCUUGCUGUGGCCUUGUCCAAAGUAAAUUUUAUCUUGUAUGCAUUGCCCCAUACUUACCAAAAAUAAUGUCAUAUUUUUUCUUGAUUGUGUCACACAAGCUGUUCUUUUUUUGUGACGUGUUCAAUAAUGCCUACGGUAGUCCUGCUUCAGUUCAUAAGAGUCUUGCAGACUGAGAACAUGAUAUAUAUUUUUAUUUUCGCAUAUGCAAUGUAAGCCAUGUCUGCAUGCAUUAGAAUUUUGUGGAAUUGACCUACCCAUGUGGUGUAGCACAUAAAAUUACAUUCAAAUGCAUUUUCUCAGAUCUCGGACAGUGAAUGCACACCAAACUCCUGUGCAGGCGUUUUCCGUGUUGAUUUUAAAAAGAGCUUUAGGAAAUUUAUUACAUUUACCUGUGUUUGUAGAUUGCUUCAAAAAAUUGGUUGUCACUGGGUUGCCAUGCUUUUCACACUGCUUUAUACUAUCAUUGUGGUGCAUCAUCUUUUGAACACCCAAAAUAAACAGUAUGAAACAAUAUUCAGUUACUUUGUACUUUUCCUUCCCACAUGAUUAACAUGUCUGUUAUACGGGGUGUGCAUUUGAUAUACGUGCAGAUUUAUAAAAAAAAUGGAGCAUUCUGCAUAAGUGAAAACCACUGCAUUACUAGCAAAGUGAGAGCACAUGCAAGUAUCUUUUUCACUUGGGCAUAAAUAAUUAAUACUAAUUCAUCAAGGUGUCAUUGGAAACUAGGGCACUUUUAAAGAAAACCCGAUUUAUGUGUUUGCAACAUAAUACACCGUGUGCUUUUUCAGGGAGCCUGCAGUAUCUGCGUCAAAAACAUAAACAAUGUGCGUACGUCUAUCAGAAUAACUCGCUAAGUCCAGCACCUUCGCCUCCGUGCGUGAGCUGCUCUAAGUCAACCUUGUGGGGUCUCAUUUGCCGGCUCAGCGCGAUUACCGCUGGGACGGUAACCUUUGCCAUUCUUUGUGCAUGAAAAUUACUUUUGUUUGCGUUCUCACAGCUGCCGAGUGCAAAACGAGGUGAUUGAAGCUGACGGCAGUGCCAAUUCAGAACCUGCCGGAGUCCUCCACUUUCAAUGCUGAGAAGGCUGCCCGGUCCAGGGAGUGGAACAUCCAAGAACGCUAGGCGCAACAAUCGCUCGUACAGGGAAACGCAGAGGCAAUACAUGUGCCCCACCCCUGGUGAAGAAAACCAUUCUGAGCCACUCUCAAACACUCAAGAUGAAAACCACAACCCUUGCAUCGACUGCAUCACAGCCCAAGACGACUCAUUUUCAAGCAAGGAGAGGGAAGUUGCUGCCGUGCUGGCAGAGAUGUCUGCAGCUAGGCAAGGACGGAACACAGUCUGCACUGAAGACCAGUCUGUACAAGUCAUUUGCGGUGGAUUUUCAGGGAAGUUUUGUCACUCCUCGCUGAAGACAAUGUAAACACUUUCACUGGAUUGCCGUCCUAUUCUCGAUGCACUGGUCUCAUGUUAUGAAGAGAUGCACAAAUUAACAAACAAACACCAGUUGUCAGCAAAGGAUAGGGUAGUGAUGAUGAUGAUGAAGCUGAAGCACCAUGUGUAAAUAAACUUUCUGAAGAACUUGUUUGAUUGUUCACUGACGACAGCAACUGGCAUAAUUUGCCAAACAACUGAGACUUUUUCUAAAGCACUGGCGUUGGUAGUGACUCUACCAUCCAAAGAGGAAACCUUACGGAACAUGCCAAAGCAUCUCAAGGGUUAUCAAACUGUGAGGCUUGUACUGGACUGUACGGAAAUGACAGUCGCACAGCCAAAGUGUUCGAAGGGUGCACUAAGAUUGUACUCCUUCUACAAGAAAAGCUUUACAUGCAAGUAUAUGAUUUCCGUUACCCCAGGAGGUAUCAUUGCACACAUCAGCAAAGGGUACGGUGGCCGAGCAUCUGAUAAGGCAAUAUUUGAGCAGAGCGGGCUGCUCUAUAUGCUUGAGCCAGUGACGGAUGCAGUCAUGGUAGACCGUGACUUUCUCAUUGACAGUAUCUGCGAGGACCGACUAAUUGCUGUGAUCAGAUUACCUUUUCGUAAGCAAAAACCAGCUUUCCAAACGGGAUGCCUUGGAGACGCAUAGGAUUGCAGCUGCGAGGGUUCAUGUGGAGCGAGCCAUUCAAAGAUUGAAAAUUUUCAGACUUUUGUCAAGCAAGAUUCUGUGCAACAUGUUGUGCAUGAUGGAUAAUAUUAUGACGAUAGUUGCAGGAGUGACUAACCUCUCGGCUCCCAUUUUCGCGGACAACAAAUUUUUCUAAGGGCCAUGUCUGUAGCCUUGGCUGAAAAAUUCAGUGUUGUAGAGACAGUGUUGAAAUCUGUGCAUGACGAUAAAAUGACUCCCGAGACAAUAAAUAUAUCCUUUUGUUCA
This 2639-nucleotide small RNA is filed under the name Ixodes scapularis (black-legged tick). RNAcentral's name for it is "uncharacterized LOC120844261". The record is from RNAcentral. Lineage: Eukaryota; Metazoa; Arthropoda; Arachnida; Ixodida; Ixodidae.